Molecule: ribosomal RNA, 1003 nt
Filed under: uncultured Clostridiales Family XIV bacterium
Lineage: Bacteria; Bacillati; Bacillota; Clostridia; Eubacteriales; Clostridiales Family XIV. Incertae Sedis
Description: bacterial SSU rRNA
Rfam family: Bacterial small subunit ribosomal RNA (bases 177-1003)
Source: RNAcentral
UAUUACGCCAGCUGGCGAAAGGGGGAUGUGCUGCNANGNCGAUUAAGUUNGGUAANNCCAGGGUUUUCCCAGUCACGACGUUGUAAAACGACGGCCAGUGAAUUGUAAUACGACUCACUAUAGGGCGAAUNGGGCCCGACGUCGCAUGCUCCCGGCCGCCAUGGCGGCCGCGGGAAUUCGAUUAGAGUUUGAUCCUGGCUCAGGAUGAACGCUGGCGGCGUGCCUAACACAUGCAAGUCGAACGAAGCAUCUUAUAGGAAGUUUUCGGAUGGAAUAUGGGAUGACUGAGUGGCGGACGGGUGAGUAACGCGUGGAUAACCUGCCUCACACUGGGGGAUAACAGUUAGAAAUGGCUGCUAAUACCGCAUAAGCGCACAGUACCGCAUGGUACGGUGUGAAAAACCCAGGUGGUGUGAGAUGGAUCCGCGUCUGAUUAGCCAGUUGGCGGGGUAACGGCCCACCAAAGCGACGAUCAGUAGCCGACCUGAGAGGGUGACCGGCCACAUUGGGACUGAGACACGGCCCAAACUCCUACGGGAGGCAGCAGUGGGGAAUAUUGCACAAUGGGCGAAAGCCUGAUGCAGCGACGCCGCGUGAGUGAAGAAGUAUCUCGGUAUGUAAAGCUCUAUCAGCAGGGAAGAAAAUGACGGUACCUGACUAAGAAGCCCCGGCUAACUACGUGCCAGCAGCCGCGGUAAUACGUAGGGGGCAAGCGUUAUCCGGAUUUACUGGGUGUAAAGGGAGCGUAGACGGCGAUGCAAGUCUGAAGUGAAAGCCCGGGGCUCAACCCCGGGACUGCUUUGGAAACUGUGUGGCUGGAGUGCAGGAGAGGUAAGUGGAAUUCCUAGUGUAGCGGUGAAAUGCGUAGAUAUUAGGAGGAACACCAGUGGCGAAGGCGGCUUACUGGACUGUAACUGACGUUGAGGCUCGAAAGCGUGGGGAGCAAACAGGAAUCACUAGUGAAUUCGCGGCCGCCUGCAGGUCGACCAUAUGGGAGAGCNCC